AUACGGAGGGUGCAAGCGUUGUCCGGAUUUAUUGGGUUUAAAGGGUGCGUAGGUGGUUUUUUAAGUCAGUGGUGAAAGCCAACAGCUUAACUGUAGAGGUGCCAUUGAUACUGGGGAACUUGAGUAUGGACGAGGUAGGCGGAAUUUGUGGUGUAGCGGUGAAAUGCAUAGAUACCACAAGGAACACCGAUAGCGAAGGCAGCUUACUGGGCCAUAACUGACACUGAGGCACGAAAGCGUGGGGAGCGAACAGGAUUAGAAACCCUAGUAGUCC
RNAcentral lists this ribosomal RNA (274 nucleotides) under uncultured bacterium. RNAcentral's name for it is "partial 16S ribosomal RNA". It matches the Rfam family "Bacterial small subunit ribosomal RNA", at positions 523 to 796 of the family's 1533-position model. The record is from RNAcentral.